CCUACGGGGGGCAGCAGUGAGGAAUAUUGGUCAAUGGACGAGAGUCUGAACCAGCCAAGUAGCGUGAAGGAUGACUGCCCUCGGGGUUGUAAACUUCUUUUAUAUGGGAAUAAAAUGUUCCACGUGUGGGAUUUUGUAUGUACCAUAUGUAUAAGGAUCGGCUAACUCCGUGCCAGCAGCCGCGGUAAUACGGAGGAUCCGAGCGUUAUCCGGAUUUAUUGGGUUUAAAGGGAGAGUAGGUGGGUUGUUAAGUCAGUUGUGAAAGUUUGCGGCUCAACCGUAGAAUUGCAGUUGAAACUGGCAGUCUUGAGUACAGUAGAGGUGGGCGGAAUUCGUGGUGUAGCGGUGAAAUGCUUAGAUAUCACGAAGAACACCGAUUGCGAAGGCAGCUUACUGGACUGCAACUGACACUGAGGCUCGAAAGUGUGGGUAGCAAACAGGAUUAGAUACCCUUGUAGUC
This 460-nucleotide ribosomal RNA is filed under the name uncultured bacterium. Its description in RNAcentral is "partial 16S ribosomal RNA". It matches the Rfam family "Bacterial small subunit ribosomal RNA", at positions 338 to 795 of the family's 1533-position model. The record is from RNAcentral.